Long non-coding RNA from Myotis brandtii (Brandt's bat), 1255 nucleotides. RefSeq lists it as uncharacterized. NCBI's taxonomy places the organism in Eukaryota, Metazoa, Chordata, Mammalia, Chiroptera, Vespertilionidae. The record is from RefSeq and is a predicted model, not a curated record. The transcript has 2 exons.
AACUGUAUUUAAAGGGCCAGAAGGUUGAGAACCACUGCCCUAGACAGUCUGAACCGAAAGCCUCAGCUAGGAGGUGAGGGCCAGGGAGGGGGUGUGGAGGGAGCAUCCAGGCGGGAGAGGCAAGACGCGCUGUGUGUUCUAGAAGCUGCAAGCCGCGCACUAGUGUAAGGGGAGGAAAAUGAAGCUGGGAAGUUAGGGAGCCAGGUGCUGGGAGGCUGAAGAGUUUGGAGAAUCUUGGUCCUUAGAGAAAGGGACCGGUAUAGUCUAAAGGUAAGAACGUGAGGAAUCAGCUACAGCGUUGGUAGGUGGAGUCAUUGGAGUGGAAUCAUUCAGAGCCAAGGUCUGCAAACAGAACAAUACAAACCCUAUAAGUAGUCAGACCAGGACAGUUUUCAGGAAAUCAGUGUUUACAACCUAAUUCCUAAAAAAAUUGCCCAAGGAUAAGCCUUUGUCCCACUUUACAAAUAAAAGGCCUACUUCUCUCCAAUCCUGCAUCCAAUCUUACUGUGAUGUAUUGUCCCAGGGUGUACAGACGUCUGGGACGCCAGGCACACAAAUGAAAAUUUGUAGAUAUUUGAUUUCUCAGUGGGUUUUUGACAAAACUGAAGGAGGACCUAACUGAAUUACCUAUCAGUUGUAGAUUUUUUUUUUUUAAAUGUUGGGCCCUGGCCAGGUAGCUCAGUUAGUUAGAGCUUCGUCCUGACCAGACAAAGUUGCAGGUCAGGGCACAUACAAGAAUCAGCUAAUGAGUGCAUAGAUAGGUGUGUCGUAGGCAGUUAGACGGACGUGACCAGAGCAAGGACGAUGUGCCAGGUACAGAAGGUCACCAGGCUGAAAAGCCCUGGGUGCCAAAGGACAAAUGUAGGGUGGGACCUUGCCCCCAGGGUGACCUCCCCUCCCCUAGCAUAUCGCUGGUCAUGCGGUUUGGACCCCCUGACCUUCUCUAGAGAUAGAGGCCUCGGUUGUAUUUCAGAUCCAGGCCCAGGAAAGCAGCAAAACCAGACAAGCAAUGCCACUGUUGACCUCAGGACCAACCGCAUUGGAUAAUGGCCCACUGGAGCCUGAUAGGUCACCGAAGGAGGAAUGCAGGAGGCCAGAAUGUUUGAGUCUAUGAAUUCUUUCCUAGCAAGACGCAAGUACAGAGGUUGCUGACCCCAGGUCCAGUAUGACCCCACUAGUCUAGCACCUGUGCCGUUCCUGCCACCCACGACAGAUGGAACAACAGAUUAAUGUUCCUCUCUCUCUCUCUCUCUGU